AUGUACCACUCGUACACUCCGGUUCCUGUGCGCCGUCCGCACCCACCUGACAACUGCUCGCUACGUUUUGUUAGCU
This 76-nucleotide small RNA is filed under the name Xanthomonas vasicola pv. vasculorum NCPPB 1326. RNAcentral describes it as "sX9". It matches the Rfam family "Xanthomonas sRNA sX9". Lineage: Bacteria; Pseudomonadati; Pseudomonadota; Gammaproteobacteria; Lysobacterales; Lysobacteraceae. The record is from RNAcentral.